UCUGACGUUAGCGGCGGACGGGUGAGUAACACGUGGAUAACCUACCUAUAAGACUGGGAUAACUUCGGGAAACCGGAGCUAAUACCGGAUAAUAUAUUGAACCGCAGGGUUCAAUAGUGAAAGACGGUUUUGCUGUCACUUAUAGAUGGAUCCGCGCCGCAUUAGCUAGUUGGUAAGGUAACGGCUUACCAAGGCAACGAUGCGUAGCCGACCUGAGAGGGUGAUCGGCCACACUGGAACUGAGACACGGUCCAGACUCCUACGGGAGGCAGCAGUAGGGAAUCUUCCGCAAUGGGCGAAAGCCUGACGGAGCAACGCCGCGUGAGUGAUGAAGGUCUUCGGAUCGUAAAACUCUGUUAUUAGGGAAGAACAAAUGUGUAAGUAACUAUGCACGUCUUGACGGUACCUAAUCAGAAAGCCACGGCUAACUACGUGCCAGCAGCCGCGGUAAUACGUAGGUGGCAAGCGUUAUCCGGAAUUAUUGGGCGUAAAGCGCGCGUAGGCGGUUUUUUAAGUCUGAUGUGAAAGCCCACGGCUCAACCGUGGAGGGUCAUUGGAAACUGGAAAACUUGAGUGCAGAAGAGGAAAGUGGAAUUCCAUGUGUAGCGGUGAAAUGCGCAGAGAUAUGGAGGAACACCAGUGGCGAAGGCGACUUUCUGGUCUGUAACUGACGCUGAUGUGCGAAAGCGUGGGGAUCAAACAGGAUUAGAUACCCUGGUAGUCCA
RNAcentral lists this ribosomal RNA (725 nucleotides) under Staphylococcus epidermidis. RNAcentral's name for it is "bacterial SSU rRNA". It matches the Rfam family "Bacterial small subunit ribosomal RNA", at positions 85 to 797 of the family's 1533-position model. The record is from RNAcentral. Lineage: Bacteria; Bacillati; Bacillota; Bacilli; Caryophanales; Staphylococcaceae.